RNAcentral lists this non-coding RNA (116 nucleotides) under Novosphingobium sp. Its description in RNAcentral is "TPP sequence". It matches the Rfam family "TPP riboswitch aptamer (THI element)". Rfam says of the family: Vitamin B(1) in its active form thiamin pyrophosphate (TPP) is an essential coenzyme that is synthesised by coupling of pyrimidine and thiazole moieties in bacteria. The previously detected thiamin-regulatory element, thi box was extended, resulting in a new, highly conserved RNA secondary structure, the THI element, which is widely distributed in eubacteria and also occurs in some archaea. The record is from RNAcentral. Lineage: Bacteria; Pseudomonadati; Pseudomonadota; Alphaproteobacteria; Sphingomonadales; Sphingomonadaceae.
GCCCACACCCCGGGGAGCCUGCGUUUCGAAAAGGCUGAGAGGUGGGUUUCGCAGCCCACGACCCGUCGAACCUGAACCCGUUAGCACGGGCGGAGGGAAGGGCGGCCACGCUGGCG